Molecule: ribosomal RNA, 445 nt
Filed under: uncultured bacterium
Lineage: Bacteria
Description: partial 16S ribosomal RNA
Rfam family: Bacterial small subunit ribosomal RNA
Source: RNAcentral
GUGAGGAAUAUUGGUCAAUGGGCGGGAGCCUGAACCAGCCAAGUCGCGUGAAGGAAGAAGGAUCUAUGGUUCGUAAACUUCUUUUGCAGGGGAAUAAAGUACGGUACGUGUACCGUUUUGUAUGUACUCUGCGAAUAAGGAUCGGCUAACUCCGUGCCAGCAGCCGCGGUAAUACGGAGGAUCCAAGCGUUAUCCGGAUUUAUUGGGUUUAAAGGGUGCGCAGGCGGGUUGAUAAGUCAGCGGUGAAAGUUUGCAGCUUAACUGUAAAAUUGCCGUUGAAACUGUCGAUCUUGAGUGCAAAUGAGGUAAGCGGAAUGUGUUGUGUAGCGGUGAAAUGCUUAGAUAUCACGCAGAACUCCGAUUGCGAAGGCAGCUUACUAAGCUACAACUGACACUGAAGCACGAAAGCGUGGGGAUCAAACAGGAUUAGAAACCCUUGUAGUCC